This 73-nucleotide transfer RNA is filed under the name Syntrophaceae bacterium. RNAcentral describes it as "tRNA-Lys". It matches the Rfam family "tRNA". Rfam says of the family: Transfer RNA (tRNA) molecules are approximately 80 nucleotides in length. Their secondary structure includes four short double-helical elements and three loops (D, anti-codon, and T loops). Lineage: Bacteria; Pseudomonadati; Thermodesulfobacteriota; Syntrophia; Syntrophales; Syntrophaceae. The record is from RNAcentral.
GGGCCGUUAGCUCAACUGGUAGAGCAACUGACUCUUAAUCAGUAGGUUCGGAGUUCGAGUCCCCGACGGCCCA